Long non-coding RNA from Coffea arabica (coffee), 616 nucleotides. RefSeq lists it as uncharacterized. The record is from RefSeq and is a predicted model, not a curated record. NCBI's taxonomy places the organism in Eukaryota, Viridiplantae, Streptophyta, Magnoliopsida, Gentianales, Rubiaceae.
CCAACCGAGAGAGACAUAUUUCUCCAUUGCCUCCAUUUUUGACCAAGUAGCAUGCAAGUUGACUAAGCCAAAUUUACUUCCUCUUGUUUCUUUUCUUUAGCUCAACCACCGAGAGAAAGAAAAACAAAGACAAACAAGACUGCUCACUUAUUUUGUCCCACUUUAGCCGAGAAAGAGUAGAGAGAGUUGAGAGGAAAAGGUUGUGUCUUGCACCCACCUUCCAGCCGAGAGAAAAUUUGGGGAAACAAAGAAAUUUCCCUUGUUUUGUUUCCACUUCAGCCAAGAGGAACCAGCGAGAGAAAACUGAAAGGAAGCUUGAGUCUUGUUUCCAUUUCCAGCUUGUUUGAUCGAGUAGAAGGACCAAAACAGGGGAGUUAACUUCUAGCUUGUUUUAAAGAUUUAGACUCCAACCAAGGAGUUGGACCUGAACGUGACUUUUGAGAGGCACUAGACCCUUGGGGGUACGAGUGAGGCGUGAGACAUGUACCGACUAGUGUAGUCUAGUUGUUUUGAAUUUUGAAUUUGUACUUGUGCUAGUACCCGACCAGGGUUGAUUGUACUCGAAUUGUAAACACUUUGAAAUAUUUUGGUAUGUAGAAGCUUUGUAUCUGGAUUU